GUUUUUUUCGCACAGAACCCUAGCUCAGGCAUUCCCCAAAUUAGUUGUUUCGAACCAUAGCUAAAGGAGGUUGUCUCCUUCGUUCGCACAGGCAGUGGCAGACCCUUCAUUCGCAUAGAAGCGCUUCGUUGGAGGGUUUGUUCAAGGCUAAACGUUCUUCAUCUCCCCUUCAAUCGUCGACCAAAAGCCCUAAUUCUCUCUCCCCUGCCAAUCGUUUCCUCAGCGCAUUCAGGAUACAAAAACCCUAAUUCUUCCCACGCAUUGUCGUCCUUCAUUCAAGCGUGGUACCAGGGGUCGUCUCUUUGGCUUAUUUUACUCAAUCAUAAAAAAGGGUUUCGUUUAUGCUCCUGAGGCGACCUCCCCCUUCUUUUUCUUGACCAAAGCGACCACCGUUUCUGCUCCUGAGGCGAAUGGCUGCAACUGGGCGAACCUCCACCACCAAACGCGAAGUGCUCUCGAGGCGUUCUCCAUUUCUGUCGUGCAACGUGGUCUCCAUUUCGAUUUCUCUCGCGAGUUGGCCAUAGUUGUCUUCUUCGUGCAUCCACCGCCGUGCCGCCACAGUUCGUCCCCCUCCUUCGCCUUCAUUGUCUCCGACGAAGCGCUGUCCAAGUUGGGUGGCUCUAUUUCUCGCGCGAACUGCAGGAGUAUUCUCUCCAAGCGUUGCUUUUGCCAUCGUUCCUGUGUCGCUCCACCGCCGCUCCGCUGCCUUUGCCUUUGUCCUUUGCUACCACGGUAACCCUGACUUUUCCUUUUUAUGUACUUUUGUUCCAUGUUUUUAUGCUAAUCUAGAACUAUAAUUUGGUUGGUUCUGUGGCUGCAAGGUUCUAAUUUCUUCCCAGGGGGAUCAAUUUUAGACACACUUCCUAAUCCUUUUUUGUGGUCAAAUAAAAGAAAGUCAAAUGUUGGCUGGAUUAGUAGAUCGCCUCGACCACAAUGGGGAGCUGUGCCUCAAAUCCAAAUAGAAAAGCCAAUGGUCACAAGAGAAGAAAACACAAGUUCG
Molecule: long non-coding RNA, 1000 nt
Filed under: Vigna radiata
Lineage: Eukaryota; Viridiplantae; Streptophyta; Magnoliopsida; Fabales; Fabaceae
Description: long non-coding RNA (VRAD_LNC002667)
Source: RNAcentral